GUACAAGGCUAAAUAGGGCCCUGGGAUGAGGCACCUGUGACAGGGAGGGGUGCAAAACCAGGUUUGGUUUUGCACCCCUCCCUGUCACAGGUGCCUCAUCCCAGGGCCCUAUUUAGCCUUGUACU
This 125-nucleotide microRNA precursor is filed under the name Pelobates cultripes (western spadefoot toad). Lineage: Eukaryota; Metazoa; Chordata; Amphibia; Anura; Pelobatidae. The record is from RNAcentral.